RNAcentral lists this ribosomal RNA (477 nucleotides) under uncultured bacterium. RNAcentral describes it as "partial 16S ribosomal RNA". It matches the Rfam family "Bacterial small subunit ribosomal RNA", at positions 28 to 507 of the family's 1533-position model. The record is from RNAcentral.
GAUGAACGCUGGCGGCGUGCCUAACACAUGCAAGUCGAACGAAGCACCUUACCUGAUUCUUCGGAUGAAAGUUUGGUGACUGAGUGGCGGACGGGUGAGUAACGCGUGGGUAACCUGCCCUGUACAGGGGGAUAACAGCUGGAAACGGCUGCUAAUACCGCAUACGCGCACGAGGAGACAUCUCCUUGUGUGAAAAACUCCGGUGGUACAGGAUGGGCCCGCGUCUGAUUAGCUGGUUGGCAGGGUAACGGCCUACCAAGGCAACGAUCAGUAGCCGGUCUGAGAGGAUGACCGGCCACAUUGGAACUGAGACACGGUCCAAACUCCUACGGGAGGCAGCAGUGGGGAAUAUUGCACAAUGGGGGAAACCCUGAUGCAGCAACGCCGCGUGAGUGAAGAAGUAUUUCGGUAUGUAAAGCUCUAUCAGCAGGGAAGAUAAUGACGGUACCUGACUAAGAAGCGCCGGCUAAAUACGUG